UAACCUGCCCAAGAGAUCGGGAUAACACCUGGAAACAGAUGCUAAUACCGGAUAACAACAGAUGAUGCCUAUCAACUGUUUAAAAGAUGGUUCUGCUAUCACUCUUGGAUGGACCUGCGGUGCAUUAGCUAGUUGGUAGGGUAACGGCCUACCAAGGCGAUGAUGCAUAGCCGAGUUGAGAGACUGAUAGGCCACAUUGGGACUGAGACACGGCCCAAACUCCUACGGGAGGCAGCAGGG
This 240-nucleotide ribosomal RNA is filed under the name uncultured Lactobacillus sp. Its description in RNAcentral is "partial 16S ribosomal RNA". It matches the Rfam family "Bacterial small subunit ribosomal RNA", at positions 122 to 354 of the family's 1533-position model. Lineage: Bacteria; Bacillati; Bacillota; Bacilli; Lactobacillales; Lactobacillaceae. The record is from RNAcentral.